GGCUCGGUGGUGUAGUUGGUUAUCACGUCAGUCUAACAAGGGCAAGGCCCCUUCAUCCACUGAAGGUCCCGAGUUCAAUCCUCGGCUGAGUCA
This is a non-coding RNA of Ophiobolus disseminans, 93 nucleotides long. NCBI's taxonomy places the organism in Eukaryota, Fungi, Ascomycota, Dothideomycetes, Pleosporales, Phaeosphaeriaceae. The record is from the annotation of a GenBank genome assembly.